RNAcentral lists this long non-coding RNA (290 nucleotides) under Pongo abelii (Sumatran orangutan). Its description in RNAcentral is "lincRNA". Lineage: Eukaryota; Metazoa; Chordata; Mammalia; Primates; Hominidae. The record is from RNAcentral.
CCUGGCCCAGCCCUCCGCAGGGUGUAACCCUGCUCUAGAGUGAGCUUUCAUUCACUGUGGAGCAGAAAAUGCAUCUAUGAGCAUCAAUUCACUGUGUCCUGCCCGGCUUCAGGGCCUCAGAGGCAUCCUGAAGAGCAUCCGGGGAAGCCUUAGAGCCAUGGGCUCCUCUGCUAAGAACUGGUGAUGUCAUGCAGGCUGGAAGCUGACAAUUUAAGUCAAUUCACUCUCCAAAAAUGUUGCACCCCUGCUGCGUGUUAAGCUCAUUAAAGUUGGAGAGUUGAAUGAGCUAA